This is a long non-coding RNA of Phasianus colchicus (ring-necked pheasant), 792 nucleotides long. Lineage: Eukaryota; Metazoa; Chordata; Aves; Galliformes; Phasianidae. The record is from Ensembl.
GGGGCGUCCGUCUGUCCGUCCGUCAGUCCGUCAGUCCGGCCGCCCGGCCGCCCAGCUGUCUGUCUGUCCGUCCGUUCGUCUGCCCUUCCGUCCGCCCAGCCACCCACGUGUCUGUCUGUCUGUCCGUCCGUUCGUCUGCCCGUUCAUCCGUCCGUCCUUCCACCCGGGUGCCCACCCGUGUGUCCGUCCAUCUGUCUGUCCGUCAGUCCGUCCACCCGGCUGCCCAGCUGUCUGUCUGUCCGUCCAUCCUUCCACCCGGGUGCCCACCCAUGCGUCCGUCCGUCUGUCCGUCAGUCCGUCCACCCGGCUGCCCAGCUGUCUGUCUGUCCGUCCGUCCUUCCACCCGGGUGCCCACCCAUGUGUCCGUCCGUUCGUCUGUCUGUCUCUCCAUCCAUCCAGCUGUCUGUCUGUCCGUCCGGUCGUCUGCCCGUCCAUCCGUCCGUCCUUCCACCCGGGUGCCCACCCGUGUGUCCGUCCGUCCGUACAUCUGUCCGUCAGUCCGUCCGCCCAGCCACCCAGCUGUCUGUCUGUCCGUCCGUUCGUCUGCCCAUCCGUCCUUCCACCCGGGUGCCCACCCAUGUGUCCGUUCGUCUGUCCAUCUGUCCAGCUGUCUGUCUGUCCCUUCGUCUGUCCGUCCAUCCAGGUGCCCAUCCAUGUGUCUGUCCAUCUGUCCGUCUAUUCGUCCAUCUGUCCAUCCAUCUGUCUGUCCAUCCAGGUGCCCAUCUAUGUGUGUCUGUCCGUCCGUCCAUCUGUCCGUCCAUCCAGGUGCCCAUCCAUGUGUCUGUCCAUCUG